UUGAGGUAUGGAAGUUACGAUCAUCUUAGUGCUACGACUGUCGUAGGGUGAUGUUGAGGUAUGGGAGUUACGAUCGUCUUAGUGCUACGACUGUCGUAGGGUGAUGUUGAGGUAUGGGAGUUACGGUUAUCUUAGUUCCACGACUGUCGUAGGGUGAUGUUGAGGUAUGGAAGUUACGAUCGUCUUAGUGCUACGACUGUCAUAAGUCCAUGUUAAAGAAUGGGAGUUACGUUCGUCUUGCACCAAGAUUGCUUGGUGGAACAGCUCCCAGUUCAUUUAUACCAAAAUGAGUAUCAUAGUGAAUGUGUCAUUUUAUCACCUACAUAUAACUGGCAAAAGAAACAGAGAUCAUAUACAUUUAUACGUAACUAAAAAAUGAUAAGACCAAACAUUAUUUUUCAAGGACAUUCGACAUGUGCAGUGAUAUUUUCUUUUUCCUAUGUUAGGCAAAAUAUUUUCCCCAGAAGUUUCUGGAAUAAAUAAUUUUUAGCACCCAAAUUCCACGCUUUCUUUUAUAAUGCCUUGUGGUGCCAACAGGAAAGUAACACCUCAGAUUUUCGUUGCCUUUCAAACUGCUGUUUGUCUCAAAUGAUAAAUGAAAUAACCCAGAUUUCCCACAAUUUUUAUGUACCCAAAAAUGGCCAGGCCUAAUUUAAAUUAAAUGUGUAAAAUUUGAAUUUGAAUUUGAAAAAUUAAGAAUCGUACAAAGCUUAUGGGUUACAUCUCGCCCAACUGAAAAAACAAUAUGAUUAAAAUUCAAGACAGUGAUAGGAGUUUAAGGUACGAGAUUAAGGAUAACACUGAUGAAUAGCAGUGUUUGAAAUAACUUUCAAAACCACAGCUGGGCAGGUGACCAUAAGUGUUGCCUGCCAAUCUUCAAAGUUACCUGCCCUUAUUCAGACAUUAUAAAUAUUGACAAACAGCAAAAUAUAAGAGACAAAUCACGUCUUGAUUCAGUUGAAAUAAUGCAAUCAUACUUAAGAAUGUUAUUAUUUAGAUGAAUUGUAAGUAGUCUUAAAAUUUUAUGCCAGACAGCUGGGCCAUUGGAGGAAAAUUUCAUGCAGCCCGACAGAAAAGUUACCAGCCACAGGCAGGAGGGCAAGUAGUUAUUUUGGACACUGAUAAAUAGCAUGAUCUCUGUUUCUUUUGGUAUGAAACCUGACUUGAUUGUGCUGGUGUAACUGAAGGUGUAACAUUGAUGACCAAUAUUCUUUAAUACCGAGUAUGUACACUCCUACAGCAUUUCCACACGUUCCAUGAUUUAUUCUACAAAUGUUAUUUAUUGUGCCCACUGUGCAUUGAUAUGUGGUCCUAUAUUACUUGUCUCAUGCGGGUCAGGGCUCAAUCUAAUGCGUCACAAUUUGCAGAGUUGUGUCCCUUAGGCAUGCCAGCAUCCUGUAAUCAUGGUUUGAUUGACUGGGUGUCCAGUCAUCUCAUGCAUCAAGAUUUGCAGAGUUGUGUCCCUUAGGUAUGCCAGAAUCCUGCAAUCAUGGUUUGAUUGACUGGGUGUCCAGUCAUCUCAUGCAUCAAGAUUUGCAGAGUUGUGUCCCUUAGGCAUGCCAGAAUCCUGUUUUCAUGGUUUGAAUGACUGGGUGUCCAGUCAUCUAAUGCAUCACAAUUUGUUCUGUGGAGUUGUGUCCCUUUGGCGUGCCAGAAUCCUGUAAUCAUGGCUAUGAUUUGCAAUGAUUAUGUUUCUAGGUUUGUCAGCACCAUACAACGUGGUAAACGUCCUACAUAAAGCUGACAUGUGAUACACCUGAAAUAUUGUUAACAACGGCAUUAAACCCAAUUUAAUCUCUCUCCUAUGAGGGUUCUGGAACUAGGGAGGUGUCACAUGUCCAAUGCUGGUCAUACGAGAGGACUAGAUUGUGUAUUUGAUGGGCACAAUGGCUUUGAUGUCCAUCUGUCAGCUGGAUGGAUUGUCGUGUAUUUGGUCGGAUUGUUCUUCACACUAUCGACCACUGGUUUGGCUGUUUCAAGCUCACUUGCAGACAUGAUAUGGCCUUAAUAUGGACUUUGCCACAAUAGUCCAGCCACAAUAAUGUGCAUCUUUAUGAUGCAUCAAAACACUACAUCAUCCCAGUCAGGGGAUAAGUUUGCACUCAACUUUUGUUCUCGGCUGCCUGGGCAGUAACCAAUCAAAGCUGUCUGUGAGGUGUGAAGUCACAUUACCAUCUCAUCCUACCAGGUACCCAUUCACUGCUGGCAUAUUUGGAAUUAUGUCACUUGUCUGAGGAGACACCACGUAUUACAUGUGCUUGAGUGUUCAGUGACCGAAGCCCAAGAAACUCCACGUAGUCAAGCUGCCCAGUGUGGUCAAAUAUUCAGCUACUCUCUGCGACCCGUGUUGGCUGAUAUAAUUUGUUUAAUCUCAGUCUCGAAGAAUUGGGCCGUCUGCUAGCCUAGUGGUUAAAGCGUUCGCUUGUCACGCCGAAGACCCGGGUUCGAUUCCCGACAUGGGUACAAUGUGUGAAGCCCAUUUCUGGUGUCCCCCGCCGUGAUAUUGCUGGAAAAUUGCUAAAAGCGAUGUAAAACCAUACUUACUGACUGACUGACAGGACCACGGGACACAGGACACAAUUAGCUGUAAAAUUGCUGAUGCGACAUUUAGCAAUAAUCAUUCACACACUAACUAGGACCUGGCCUGUCAUUUAUAAUAUUCAGGACAUAUAUGGUAAGCAGUGACAUAUAAUCAACAUAUAUAUCAUCCAAGAAAUACUUAUAUUUGAAAUGGAUUUCCACAUAAUAUGUUUGGAGUAAGGAAUUUCUCUGUAAAUAUUUCCCAAUAUUUUGAAAGACAAAGUUGACCUGAGGAUUUCAGCUUCUGUAUUCUCCAAAGCAACAUUUCGGACCAGAUGCUGGAUAGAUCAUUAACAAGAAAGAUAACGGAACCAGCAUCUGUACCGAAAACCUCGCGUUGAAAGAAUAAUGAAGUUAAAAUCCAUGUAAGGCGUCUAUGUUUGUUGUAAGAGGCGACUAACGGGAUCGGGUGGUCAGGCUCACUGACUUGGUUGAUGCAAGUCAUCGUAUCCCAAUUGCGUGGAUCGAUGCUCAUGAUAUCAAUCACUGGAUUGUCUGGUCCAGACUCCAUAAUUUACAGACCGCCGUCAUAUAGCUGGAAUAUUGCUGAGUGAGGGCUUAAACAACAAACAAACCAUCGAACAAAUAAUCCAUAUGUAAACUCUUUGUUGACACCAGAGCUUUUAUAAUGUCACUUUUAUAAAGAUAUUUUGCCACUUGUGUACCAUCAAGUAACCAUGGAGACACUGUGUACCGGUACAUGUCCGUAUCAUCCCAACUGGAACCACCACACUGCUACUUAAUGCCUCUUCAGAUGGAAGAGUCCAUUGUUUGCUUGCACCAUAAUGUUUGAAGAUGCCAUAUUUGGUCCUGUCUGUACAUUAGAUGGAAGAGUCCAUUGUUUGCUUGGCCCAUAAUGUUUAAAGAUGCCAUAUUUUGUCCUGUCUGUACAUUAGAUGGAAGAGUCCAUUGUUUGCCUGGCCCAUGACUUUUAAAGAUGCCAUAUUUGUCUGUGUAGCUGUUACCCUUGUCUGUUGAGCGAGUCGCUGUAUUUUAAUGUUGGGAGAGAGGCGUCCGAGUGCUUCACACCGUUUUACCAUUGUCAAAAUACAAUCACUGCCUUUUUAAACCCUGGUCUAUCACGACUUCUUGGAACCUGCUCCACAAAGUGACCAUGGCAUUGUGGCGUCUGUAACCAUGGUAACAUGAUUCCAUGGUGACAUGAGGUUACAUCUGCUGAAAACAUGGCAGCACGAGGUAAAACCUUCUGUGACCAUGGUAUCUUUAAGUUGUCAUUAACCAUGGUAACGCAAGUUUAUGCCAGCCAUUACACAAAUCAUAGUCAUGACAUUAAGAUUUUGUGUAACCAUGGUAACACUUAAGUUAAGCUCUUCAUGACCAUGACCAUGGUUAUGCAAUUUUAAGCAUUGUGUUAGCAUGAGGUGAGACCUUGCAUAACCAUGUGGUCCAUAUAUGUUUCUUCAUAGACAUGUUUCUUUGUGGAAUAGAUUCCGGAAAUAUUCCUUUCUAUGCAAGAUUUUGUCAACAAUUGUACAUUAUGGCAAGCAUCACUGCCAAGAAUUUAAUUAUUACUGAAUGUCUCAUUCCACCUUUAAGAUAACUGAUCUAUAUUUGCCAUGGUAUUCUCACAUGAUCAUUUGUUUUAUGACAGAAGUUGAUUUUAUAUUUGGGAUGAUUGUACAGAGUUUGUACUGGGGAGUCCUCCAUGCCUGUCCACGGAGGCAGUGUAAAUGGGGAGUCCUCCAUGCCUGUCCACGGAGGCAGUGUAAAUGGGGAUACCUUGCAUUGUAUAUCCGGGGAAGAAUAGGUCUUCAGCAACCCAUUCUUGCUGUAAAAGGCGACUAUGCUUGUCGUAAGAGGCGACUAACGGGAUCCGGUGGUCAGGCUAGCUGACUUGGUUGAAGCAUGUCAUCGAUCCCAAUUGCGUGGAUCAAUGCUCAUAAUGUCAAUCACUGGAUUGUCUGGUCCAGACUUGAUUAUUUACAGACGCUAUCAUAUAGCUGGAAUAUCGCUGAGUGUGGCGUAAAACAACCAACCAACCAAGCAUUGGAUAUCAUGCGCCUUAUCUGCCUGUUUCACAAGAGGAUCUUAGCCCUAGGACGAUCAGUGAGUGUAAAAAAACGGGAGUUAGGACCGACUUACCGCUAAGAUCGCUCUGUGCAACUGUGUUGUGUCUGUGCAGUGUUGGCAUAUAUUUAACAUGAAAGUCAGGAAGUCUUUGUCAUAACUCUUCUGUUAUCAGUAAAGAAUUCCGAGGUUCCUAUGUUCAAGUCUCACAGAAGCAAAUACCGUAUUCGACGUAAUAAGCGGCCCGCUCUAAUAAGCGCCCACGGCGAUAUUUGCUAAUAUAUUUGGCUAGUGAACUAUCCCAAUUAGCAGCCCUUCCGAUUGAUCAAUGUACACAAGACCUAUUUAUUUGUGUAUAAUACGCACUCGUGUGUUAUAUGCACCCUUAACUAUGGGCAAUUAAAUUCUGGAAAAAUAUAUCUGUCGUAUAUAAACAUUUCAGGCUGUCAGCAUAAACCACGAAAUUUAUCUUUCAACUCUAAUUUUUGUCACCAAAAUGAUAUUCUAAUAAGAGCACCCUAUUUCUAAUUUUGAGAGCGCCCUGGGCACUUAUUACGUCGAAUACGGUACUCUUUCCUAGUGAUUCUGCUGGAAACAAAGGACAUUUUCAUGAUGUCAAAUUUCGACUUUUCUGUGUAAUUACCAAAGUGAGGGAACAAAAUUAGGACAUGUUGGAAGAUAGUGUCAAAGAAAAUGAACCAAUCCUUAGUCUCAAAUACUGUAGUAUACCCCGACAAGAGAAUCAAUGCCCACACCAUCGACCACCGAUUUGUUUGUUGAUCCUGUAACCAUGGUAACUGCUAUAUGUUUUUGUACUAGUGCUUACCUAAUUAACACAUUCAGCAUUGCAGGGUUUGCUUUGUACACAGAUGGUCUGGGUUUGAUUCUCACGGUGGGCAGAUUGGGAAGCUACUGAUGGUUUAGCUGUGCUGAUGUGAGAACGGACUUGAUGUGAAAAGGUGAUCUUUUCACUCAGUGGUAAUUAAACUCUUGCAGUAUGUGACAAAUGUUGCAAUGGUUUUUAAUGGAGUAUUUGUCUGUUGUGUUGCACUUGAGACGAAAGUUAGGCAAUGUGUUUGUAUCAUAGUGUGUACAGGGUUUUCUCAACUGUUGCUUUGUUUCCAUGGAAACCACAGUUUUCAUGUUCCUGUGAUCUGAAUCUGCCUUGACAAUAAAUGUGAUCUUUUCA
Haliotis rufescens (red abalone) is the source of this 5797-nucleotide long non-coding RNA. RefSeq lists it as uncharacterized. The record is from RefSeq and is a predicted model, not a curated record. The transcript is spliced from 2 exons. NCBI's taxonomy places the organism in Eukaryota, Metazoa, Mollusca, Gastropoda, Lepetellida, Haliotidae.